Molecule: ribosomal RNA, 629 nt
Filed under: uncultured Flavobacteriales bacterium
Lineage: Bacteria; Pseudomonadati; Bacteroidota; Flavobacteriia; Flavobacteriales
Description: bacterial SSU rRNA
Rfam family: Bacterial small subunit ribosomal RNA
Source: RNAcentral
ACACAUGCAAGUCGAGGGGUAUAUGUCUUCGGAUAUAGAGACCGGCGCACGGGUGCGUAGCGCGUAUGCAAUCUACCUUUUACAGAGGGAUAGCCCAGAGAAAUUUGGAUUAAUACCUCAUAGUAUAGCUCUACCGCAUGGUAGUACUAUUAAAGUCACAACGGUAAAAGAUGAGCACGCGUCCCAUUAGCUAGUUGGUAAGGUAACGGCUUACCAAGGCAACGAUGGGUAGGGGUCCUGAGAGGGAGAUCCCCCACACUGGUACUGAGAUACGGACCAGACUCCUACGGGAGGCAGCAGUGAGGAAUAUUGGACAAUGGGCGCAAGCCUGAUCCAGCCAUGCCGCGUGCAGGAUGACGGUCCUAUGGAUUGUAAACUGCUUUUGUACGAGAAGAAACACUGCUUCGUGAAGCAGCUUGACGGUAUCGUAAGAAUAAGGAUCGGCUAACUCCGUGCCAGCAGCCGCGGUAAUACGGAGGAUCCAAGCGUUAUCCGGAAUCAUUGGGUUUAAAGGGUCCGUAGGCGGUUUAGUAAGUCAGUGGUGAAAGCCCAUCGCUCAACGGUGGAACGGCCAUUGAUACUGCUGAACUUGAAUUAUUAGGAAGUAACUAGAAUAUGUAGUGUAGCGG